RNAcentral lists this ribosomal RNA (468 nucleotides) under uncultured Glomus. RNAcentral describes it as "SSU rRNA". It matches the Rfam family "Eukaryotic small subunit ribosomal RNA", at positions 569 to 1042 of the family's 1831-position model. The record is from RNAcentral. Lineage: Eukaryota; Fungi; Glomeromycota; Glomeromycetes; Glomerales; Glomeraceae.
AGCAGCCGCGGUAAUUCCAGCUCCAAUAGCGUAUAUUAAAGUUGUUGCAGUUAAAAAGCUCGUAGUUGAAUUUCGGGAUCAAUAUACCGGUCAUGCCUUGGUAUGCACUGGUAUCUUUGAUUUCUCCCUUCUGACGAACUUUGAUGUCAUUAAUUUGGUGUCAUAGGGAAUCAGGACUGUUACUUUGAAAAAAUUAGAGUGUUUAAAGCAGGCUCACGCUUGAAUACAUUAGCAUGGAAUAAUGAAAUAGGACGUUUGAUUCUAUUUUGUUGGUUUCUAGGAUCGACGUAAUGAUUAAUAGGGAUAGUUGGGGGCAUUAGUAUUCAAUUGUCAGAGGUGAAAUUCUUGGAUUUAUUGAAGACUAACUACUGCGAAAGCAUUUGCCAAGGAUGUUUUCAUUAAUCAAGAACGAAAGUUAGGGGAUCGAAGACGAUCAGAUACCGUCGUAGUCUUAACCAUAAACUAUGC